AAAGUGGUAGCAAUACCAUGAGUAAAGUGGCGCACGGGUGAGUAACACGUGACUAACCUACCCUGGAGUGGGGGAUAACUGAGGGAAACCUUAGCUAAUACCGCAUAAUACCUACGGGUCAAAGGAGCAAUUCGCUUUGGGAGGGGGUCGCGGCCGAUUAGUUAGUUGGCGGGGUAAUGGCCCACCAAGACGAUGAUCGGUAUCCGGCCUGAGAGGGCGCACGGACACACUGGAACUGAAACACGGUCCAGACUCCUACGGGAGGCAGCAGUGGGGAAUUUUGCGCAAUGGGGGAAACCCUGACGCAGCAACGCCGCGUGGAGGAUGAAGUCCUUCGGGACGUAAACUCCUUUCGAUCGGGACGAUUAUGACGGUACCGGAAGAAGAAGCCCCGGCUAACUUCGUGCCAGCAGCCGCGGUAAUACGAGGGGGGCGAGCGUUGUUCGGAAUUAUUGGGCGUAAAGGGUGCGUAGGCGGUUUGGUAAGUCUCUUGUGAAAUCUAUGGGCUCAACUCAUAGUCUGCAAGGGAAACUGCCGGGCUUGAGUGUGGGAGAGGUGAGUGGAAUUUCCGGUGUAGCGGUGAAAUGCGUAGAUAUCGGAAGGAACACCUGUGGCGAAAGCGGCUCACUGGACCACAACUGACGCUGAUGCACGAAAGCUAGGGGAGCAAACAGGAUUAGAUACCCUGGUAGUCCUAGCCCUAAACGAUGACUGCUUGGUGUGACGGGUACCCAAUCCCGCCGUGCCGUAGCUAACGCGUUAAGCAGUCCGCCUGGGGAGUACGGUCGCAAGGCUGAAACUC
RNAcentral lists this ribosomal RNA (802 nucleotides) under uncultured Pseudomonadota bacterium. Its description in RNAcentral is "bacterial SSU rRNA". It matches the Rfam family "Bacterial small subunit ribosomal RNA", at positions 70 to 902 of the family's 1533-position model. The record is from RNAcentral. Lineage: Bacteria; Pseudomonadati; Pseudomonadota.